This is a non-coding RNA of Equus caballus (horse), 2347 nucleotides long. The record is from RefSeq and is a predicted model, not a curated record. NCBI's taxonomy places the organism in Eukaryota, Metazoa, Chordata, Mammalia, Perissodactyla, Equidae.
CAUCAGUGCGCAUUGAGGAUCUAAAGUGCAGGCUCUGUUCUAGGUUCCGGGUGUGAAUGGGGAUGAAGAGGAGAGAAGAGCUUCCUGACCUCCAGGGCAGCACAUUCCCGGGGGGGUGAAAGAGACAGUAAACAAGCUUCCUCCUCCUUCCUCCCUGCCUGACACGCCCAGACUCCACGGUGGGUGUUUCGAGGACCUGGGUGCCCCAACAGUUUCAACUCUUUCUCUGGUUCCAAGGGGUGAAGAGGCCCGGCUUGCAGCUGGUCACCAGUGGGCAGGUGCAGAGGCAAAAGAAGAGCUGAGCCAGCUGGAGCUGGGUUUGAGUCCUGGCCCCGUCGCCUCCCAGCUGUGGCCACAGGAAGGUCCUGGAGGAGCACUCAAGCCCUGACUCCCUCCCCCGAAGGCCCGUGAGGGGUGGGCAGCCCUCGGGACAUCCAGGUGGCAGCACGUGAGCGAGGCCUGGGGCAGACCCAGGUCAGGGAGGGGACAAGUGCCUUCCUCAGGGCCCAAGUGACAAGUCCACCUCCUCUCUCAGUGGGCAGAAGGGCUGAGCAGCUGCCCGGGCCAGGCCAGAAGAGGGGCAGCCGGAGCCCAGAGUCCCCUGAGUGGGGCAGGGGGGCUGAGAAUGGGGCCCGGAGGCCUCAGCUGCAGCCCAGAGGGUGGGGCAGGGACAGGACAGGUUCCCAGAGGCAGUGGGAGUGGCAGGGGCAGGAGUCGGGGAUGGGGUGUAGCUGUGUGCAGGGACCCCUGUCCAUCCCCCCAGUCCAGGAGCCUGAUGGGUUUGGGGGCACCACCUAACAGUGGUCCUUGUGACCAUUGCUUUCACCCCUGCUUGUCCUUGACCUUCCUGCUGGAGGCUUAGUGCUUCUGUAUUUAAAUUCAUCCGUUUUCUCCUUUCUGGCUUCGGGGCUUUGAAGCUUGCUCACGGAAGUCUUCUCUCCCCAAGACCAUGGAAAUCUUCCCUCCGAGUGGUUACGGGCCUCCUCUCUAGGCUCCGCUCCUCUCCGUUCUGUCCAUUGACCGUUUUUGUUUGUUCCUGGCCCAAUACCUGCGGUCAUUAUAUGUGUACUUAUUGUUCUUCACAGCCCUAGACCAGAAGCUCCGUGGGGACAGGGACUCUUGUCUGCUCUGUGCCAUGCUAUCACCCCAGCGCUUAGCAGGUGCCUGGCGCGUGGGAGGUACGCACUGCCUCCAUGUCGAAUGUGGCACCAGGAUGUGGGCCCAGAACUCCCAGACCCGAGACCGAGGGGUGCGUAGCAGAGAAAAGGUCCACCUCAUCUGUCCCACCCCUGCUCCCUCCCCGGAUGAUUCCCUCCCGUCCAGGAGCCUCUGCUCCACGUGGACAGCCCCCUGCUGCCUGGAAUCCCUUCUCUGCGCAGCCCACACACUCCCCGAGCUCUCCACUGCUCUCUCCUUCCUGAUGAGGGGCGGCUGGAAGAAUGCUGACAGAAUCCAUCCAAGGAAAUCUUGUCGGACGCCUGCGGCGCUUCGAGCUGGAUGUAAGGACGGGGGUGAUAGGAGGUCGACAUGCGCCACUCUGCCCCCAUCACUCCAUGCAGCCCACUGAGGGCCUCGGCAGGGGCGGGUGCCUGCUGGCCAGGAUGCUGGCUGGACACGCGCCUGAAAAGACACAGUUGUAUUCCUCACGACUCACGUGUAGUUGGCCCCGAAACGAUUGCUCAUGAGCUCAGUCGUAUCUAAGUAGUCAUUAAUUUCCAUUAGAGUUGCUGGAGAGAGCGGCAGGGCUUCUAUUAAGGGAUAAGUUUCCAGCCUCAAGCUGCUAAUCAAUAGAACGAGUGCGUCAUUACACACCGCAGAGCUCCGUGAGCUCGUUCGUCACGCCAAUAAAACGACGCGGCCCUGACGCAGCGUCGGAGUCAGGGGCUGGCCCUCUGGUCUGCGGCUGUGCAAGCUGGGGCCGAUAGCAGGAAGCCCGGAGCACGUUUGCUGAGCGUGCAGAGCAGUGGGGUUGAGGGUCGUGGGGGUGCUGCUGGGAGGCGGCCCACGGGACUCGGGGACUGAUCGGAUGUGGGUUUGAGGGGGAGAAAGGCGUCAAGGACGACUCACAAAUGUCUGGCCUGCACAUCUGGGGACAGAUGGACAACGAUGGCUGUCACAAAUCGAAGCCAGAGGACAGGGCUGGCCACACCGCAGAGAGCCAGAGAUCAGAUCUGCUGGAUGGCUUUGUGCAAAUGCUGUCACCUCUCUGAGCCUCCGUGUUCUCAUCUGUCAGAAAGGAUUCAGAAUCUCUGCCUCGACAGCACCUCUGCGAGUGAGAGCAUGCAUUGAAAAGUUCAUAACACCGUCAACUUAAGAUGCAUGCUUUUAAUAAAUUCUGACUUAAAUU